This is a long non-coding RNA of Bombyx mori (domestic silkworm), 1836 nucleotides long. RefSeq lists it as uncharacterized. NCBI's taxonomy places the organism in Eukaryota, Metazoa, Arthropoda, Insecta, Lepidoptera, Bombycidae. The record is from RefSeq and is a predicted model, not a curated record. The transcript is spliced from 2 exons.
UUUUUUCAUACCUAAGCUGAUGGUCUUGAGACACCCUAACAGCGUAACCGGGCGAUCUUAAUGUGUCUUCAACUGAACACACAAAGAAAAGUGGGAUCGUACAUUAGUUGACUAGGUAUAUUUUUCUAACUAUUGCUUCAAAUUGUCUUUAUGCGGCACCAUCUUAAAAUAGCAGCUAAUAUAAUGGUAGCCAUACACGUAACGAUAUACUUGUGCAAGUUUAGACUUGUACAAGUAUGCAGUAACGUGUGUUGGAAAAUUAUUGCGCAAAUUUCUAGACUUGUACAAGUUUAAAAAAGUUUUAAUUUUCGAUUUCGAACUUGUGCAAAUUUCUGUUUGCGCAAGUUUACUUGAACGUGUGUGGCAUGCCGGCGUUCGAAGUUACAGUAGUAUAGCAACCGCCCGCUUGUGCGCACGUUUUGUGAUAGUUUUAAACGCGCUAAAAUGACGAGUGAGAGACAUGGAGUUCGAGACAAUUUGGAGGAAUUUAUUAAUAUUUACAGAAAUGAAGUCUGUCUUUGAAAAUUUUUAUUCAUUUAAUAAAUUGAUGUGCGAAUAAUGCUCUCUUUUUUUUAACCAGUCUUUACACCAUAUAUUUCGGUUUCUUUUAAGUCUUUUCAGUUUUUUGGUAGCAAAUAUUAAGCAAACUAUUGCCAAAGCUUCAUCCAUCGACACACCCGGAUGCUCUGCUCACUUUCAUAGAAAUGAUAUCGUUCAAUUAUACUUGAGCCGUCUGUGGUCACUUAGGAGUGACAUUAUACCUGUGCAAGUCUAAACUUGCACAAGUAUAUCGUUACGUGUAUGGCUACCAUAACGACUAUAUUCUCUCGUCACUGCCGUAGGAAAAAAGACAUAUCGUAGCACUGAGGAAACACCAUGGAAUCGAAUGGUAGUCGCAAUGGGUGGGGGUGAUGGUAACGAGAUAACAGAAGCAUCAGAAGCGAUUCAUAAGAGAGAGAGAGAUAAACAAAGUGUUAGUCUAAUAGACUUUCCUUUUAAAUGAUUACGUUAUUGAACGCUAUCGUCGAUAUUUCAUGGAACCCAUGAAUACCAAUUCCAUAAACAGUUUUUUGGAUUUGCAGCGGAAUAACAAAAAAACCUUCUUCUGUGUAUUGUCUUGUUUCAUUGAGCAAAAUUGAAUUAACUGAAAUCGGAGAUUCGAUUCAAAUUGUUCCGAGACUUCAAACACAUGUUUUGAUCGCUCCUUCAAAACAAUGCUACAGAAACUCUUGCACCCGGUGAAUUGUGCACCUUCCGUAAUUAUGCAUGCCAACAAUAAAUAAGAAGUUAUUGGCCUUGUUAUGCAAUGCGAAAAGCAUGCAAACAACAAGUAUUUAUAAUAGGAAUAGAGGACAACGAUCGUCUUUUAAGAUUCGACCUUCAGAAAACUAGCGAUCUACGUGUAGAGAUUUUCAAGAAUUCUCUGUAUGAUGAUUCUUCAACAGAAUUGAGGUAUGCCAUAUUUUAUCGAAGACUUUCGCGACAUCAAUUCUCACAGUGAGUGCAUUGUGCUCUAACAUUUUAAUCCAACAGUGAAUUGAAUACAAAAAAGGUCGCCAGCUGAAAAUCCAUAAUUGGAAUGAAUUCCAGUGAUAUCUGAUUCACCAGAAAUGUUCAGAUUACCCCAAAAGUUAAGGUCUUACUUACUCAUUCGUUGUUCCAAGAGCACCUGCGUUAACCAGGAAAGAAAAAAAGGAGUGUGGCUGUGUUAUGGACACGGCCGUUUGUUGUACGUGAAUACGACUCGUAACGGGUAAUAGUUUCUAUAUAAAACAUUAUUAUUUAUGUAUGUCAUAAUCAUAAGAAGUCCUCCGGGUAUACAUGUUUUGUUUAUGA